Molecule: ribosomal RNA, 926 nt
Filed under: uncultured Caldilinea sp.
Lineage: Bacteria; Bacillati; Chloroflexota; Caldilineae; Caldilineales; Caldilineaceae
Description: bacterial SSU rRNA
Rfam family: Bacterial small subunit ribosomal RNA
Source: RNAcentral
UGUAAGUCGAACGUGAAGAUGCAGCAAUGUAUCUGAAGUGGCGGACGGGUGAGUAACACGUAGGUAACCUGCCUCGAAGUGGGGGAUAACCAUUGGAAACGAUGGCUAAUACCGCAUGGUCUUGUCAGAAUGGGAAUUUGACAAGUAAAGCCUUGGCGCUUCGAGAGGGGUCUGCGUCCGAUUAGCUAGUUGGUAGGGUAAAGGCCUACCAAGGCGAUGAUCGGUAGCUGGUCUGAGAGGACGAUCAGCCACACGGGAACUGAGAAACGGUCCCGACUCCUACGGGGGGCAGCAGUGAGGAAUAUUGCACAAUGGGCGCAAGCCUGAUGCAGCAACGCCGCGUGGAGGAUGAAGGUUUUCGGAUUGUAAACUCCUUUUAUGAGGGAAAAGAACGGAUGGUACCUCGUGAAUAAGUCACGGCUAACUACGUGCCAGCAGCCGCGGUAAUACGUAGGUGACGAGCGUUAUCCGGAUUUAUUGGGCGUAAAGCGUACGCAGGCGGUUACUUAAGUCUGACGUGAAACCUCCCGGCUUAACUGGGAGAGGUCGUUGGAAACUAAAUAACUUGAGGCAAUGAGAGGUAGGCAGAAUUCCCGGUGUAGUGGUGGAAUGCGUAGAUAUCGGGGGGAAUACCAGUGGCGAAAGCGGCCUACCAGCAUUGUACUGACGCUCAUGUACGAAAGCGUGGGGAGCAAACGGGAUUAGAUACCCCGGUAGUCCACGCCGUAAACGAUGAGCACUAGGUGUGGGGGGGUCUUAAAACCUUCUGUACCGAAGCAACGCGAUAAGUGUCCGCCUGGGAGUACGGCCGCAAGCUAAACUCAAAGGAAUUGACGGGACCCGCACAAGCAGCGGAGCGUGUGGUUUAAUUCGAUGCGACGCGAAAACCUUACCUGGGCUUGACUGUACGUAGAUAUAGAAGCGAA